RNAcentral lists this transfer RNA (71 nucleotides) under Anaerolineales bacterium. RNAcentral describes it as "tRNA-Cys". It matches the Rfam family "tRNA". Rfam says of the family: Transfer RNA (tRNA) molecules are approximately 80 nucleotides in length. Their secondary structure includes four short double-helical elements and three loops (D, anti-codon, and T loops). The record is from RNAcentral. Lineage: Bacteria; Bacillati; Chloroflexota; Anaerolineae; Anaerolineales.
GGCGACGUGGCCAAGUGGAAAGGCAUGGGUCUGCAAAACCCUGAUCACGGGUUCGAAUCCCGUCGUCGCCU